GGAGAGGUGGCAGAGUGGUCGAAUGCGCCGCUUUCGAAAAGCAGUGUACAGGAAACUGUACCGUGGGUUCGAAUCCCACCCUCUCCGCCA
RNAcentral lists this transfer RNA (90 nucleotides) under Candidatus Uhrbacteria bacterium CG_4_10_14_0_2_um_filter_41_21. Its description in RNAcentral is "tRNA-Ser". It matches the Rfam family "tRNA". From Rfam's summary of the family: Transfer RNA (tRNA) molecules are approximately 80 nucleotides in length. Their secondary structure includes four short double-helical elements and three loops (D, anti-codon, and T loops). Further hydrogen bonds mediate the characteristic L-shaped molecular structure. tRNAs have two regions of fundamental functional importance: the anti-codon, which is responsible for specific mRNA codon recognition, and the 3' end, to which the tRNAs corresponding amino acid is attached (by aminoacyl-tRNA synthetases). tRNAs cope with the degeneracy of the genetic code in two manners: having more than one tRNA (with a specific anti-codon) for a particular amino acid; and 'wobble' base-pairing, i.e. permitting non-standard base-pairing at the 3rd anti-codon position. The record is from RNAcentral. Lineage: Bacteria; Candidatus Uhriibacteriota.